This is a long non-coding RNA of Rhagoletis zephyria (snowberry fruit fly), 155 nucleotides long. RefSeq lists it as uncharacterized. The record is from RefSeq and is a predicted model, not a curated record. Lineage: Eukaryota; Metazoa; Arthropoda; Insecta; Diptera; Tephritidae.
UUUUCCUACCAAAAUUGGUAGAUUUUUUUCUCGUUGUAAAUCGGAGGAUCUCAAAGUUUUUAACCGCAACUCGAAGAAGUUAAUGGCAAACCCGCAGCGCGCAGAUUUUCCCUUCAGCCCGUCGGCUCCUAGACCCGGACAUUUGGCAAGCCUAA